UUUUUCGAGAGUUUGAUCCUGGCUCAGGAUGAACGCUGGCUGUGUGCCUAAUACAUGCAUGUCGAGCGAAGUUCUUCGGAACUUAGCGGCGAAUGGGUGAGUAACACGUACUCAACGUACCCUUUAGAUUGGGAUAGCGGUUGGAAACAGCCGAUAAUACCAAAUAUGCACAUUUUUCGCAUGAAAAGUGUGUGAAAGGAGCAAUUGUUCCGCUAAAGGAGCGGGGUGCGCAACAUUAGCUAGUUGGUGAGGUAACGGCCCACCAAGGCGAUGAUGUUUAGCGGGGUUGAGAGACUGAACCGCCACACUGGGACUGAGAUACGGCCCAGACUCCUACGGGAGGCAGCAGUAGGGAAUAUUCCACAAUGGACGAAAGUCUGAUGGAGCGACACAGCGUGCAGGAUGAAGGCCCCAUGGGUUGUAAACUGCUGUGGUAAGGGAAGAAAAAGCAGAAGAGUGGAACGCUUUUGCCUUGACGGUACCUUAUUAGAAAGCGACGGCUAACUAUGUGCCAGCAGCCGCGGUAAUACAUAGGUCGCAAGCGUUAUCCGGAAUUAUUGGGCGUAAAGCGUCUGUAGGUUGUUUGUUAAGUCUGACGUCAAAUUUUGGGGCUCAACCCCAAACCGCGUUGGAUACUGGCAUACUAGAGUUAUGUAGAGGUUAGCGGAAUUCCUUGUGAAGCGGUGGAAUGCGUAGAUAUAAGGAAGAACACCAAUAUGGCGAAGGCAGCUAACUGGACAUACACUGACACUGAGAGACGAAAGCGUGGGGAGCAAACAGGAUUAGAUACCCUGGUAGUCCACGCCCUAAACGAUGAUCAUUAGCUGAUGGAAAAUUCAUCGGCGCAGCUAACGCAUUAAAUGAUCCGCCUGAGUAGUACGUUCGCAAGAAUAAAACUUAAAGGAAUUGACGGGGAUCCGCACAAGCGGUGGAGCAUGUGGUUUAAUUUGAAGAUACGCGUAGAACCUUACCCACUCUUGACAUCUUCUGCAAAGCUAUAGAGAUAUAGUGGAGGUUAACAGAAUGACAGAUGGUGCAUGGUUGUCGUCAGCUCGUGUCGUGAGAUGUACGGUUAAGUCCUGCAACGAGCGCAACCCUUGUCCUUAGUUACUAACAUUAAGUUGAGCACUCUAAGGAGACUGCCCGAGUAAUUGGGAGGAAGGUGGGGACGACGUCAAAUCAUCAUGCCUCUUACGAGUGGGGCAACACACGUGCUACAAUGGUCGGUACAAAGAGAAGCAAACUGGUGACAGGGAGCAAACCUCAAAAAACCGAUCUCAGUUCGGAUUGUAGUCUGCAACUCGACUACAUGAAGUCGGAAUCGCUAGUAAUCGUAGAUCAGCUACGCUACGGUGAAUACGUUCUCGGGUCUUGUACACACCGCCCGUCAAACCAUGGGAGCUGGUAAUGCCCGAAGUCGGUUUAUAAACAAACUGCCUAAGGCAGGACUGGUGACUGGGGUUAAGUCGUAACAAGGUAUCCCUACGAGAACGUGGGGAUGGAUCACCUCCUUU
RNAcentral lists this ribosomal RNA (1514 nucleotides) under Mycoplasmopsis columbina SF7. RNAcentral's name for it is "Mycoplasma columbinum SF7 Bacterial small subunit ribosomal RNA". It matches the Rfam family "Bacterial small subunit ribosomal RNA". Lineage: Bacteria; Bacillati; Mycoplasmatota; Mycoplasmoidales; Metamycoplasmataceae. The record is from Rfam by way of RNAcentral.